CUACGGGUGGCACCAGUGAGGAAUAUUGCACAAUGGGGGGAACCCUGAUGCAGCAACGCCGCGUGGAGGAUGACGCAUUUCGGUGUGUAAACUCCUUUUAUAUGUCAAGAAAAUGACGGUAGCAUAUGAAUAAGCACCGGCUAACUCCGUGCCAGCAGCCGCGGUAAUACGGAGGGUGCAAGCGUUACUCGGAAUCACUGGGCGUAAAGGACGCGUAGACGGGCUUGUAAGUCAGGUGUGAAAUCCUACAGCUUAACUGUAGAACUGCACUUGAAACUACGAGCCUAGAGUAUGGGAGGGGGAGAUGGAAUUAGUGGUGUAGGGGUAAAAUCCGUAGAUAUCACUAGGAAUACCUAAAGCGAAGGCGAUCUCCUGGAACAUUACUGACGCUAAGGCGUGAAAGCGUGGGGAGCAAACAGGAUUAGAUACCCUAGUAGUC
This 439-nucleotide ribosomal RNA is filed under the name uncultured bacterium. RNAcentral's name for it is "partial 16S ribosomal RNA". It matches the Rfam family "Bacterial small subunit ribosomal RNA", at positions 339 to 795 of the family's 1533-position model. The record is from RNAcentral.